This 503-nucleotide ribosomal RNA is filed under the name uncultured bacterium. RNAcentral's name for it is "bacterial SSU rRNA". It matches the Rfam family "Bacterial small subunit ribosomal RNA", at positions 501 to 1006 of the family's 1533-position model. The record is from RNAcentral.
CUACGUGCCAGCAGCCGCGGUAAUACGGAAGGUCCAGGCGUUAUCCGGAUUUAUUGGGUUUAAAGGGUGCGUAGGCCGUUUGAUAAGCGUGCUGUGAAAUAUAGUGGCUCAACCUCUAUCGUGCAGCGCGAACUGUUGAACUUGAGUGCGUAGUAGGUAGGCGGAAUUCGUGGUGUAGCGGUGAAAUGCUUAGAUAUCACGAAGAACUCCGAUUGCGAAGGCAGCUUACCGUAACGUUACUGACGCUUAAGCACGAAGGUGCGGGUAUCGAACAGGAUUAGAUACCCUGGUAGUCCGCACAGUAAACGAUGGAUGCUCGCUGUUGGCCUUUUUGGUCAGUGGCUUAGCGAAAGCGUUAAGCAUCCCACCUGGGGAGUACGCCGGCAACGGUGAAACUCAAAGGAAUUGACGGGGGCCCGCACAAGCGGAGGAACAUGUGGUUUAAUUCGAUGAUACGCGAGGAACCUUACCCGGGCUUGAACUGCAGCUGAACGAUUCAGAGA